AACUCAAAAUCUAACAUCGCUUUUCAACAUAUUGUUAAUUACGUCUGAAUUUACAUUUUCAGUGUCAGAAGGGGGUUGGCGAGGAGGGGGAAGGAUAUCGUAUUAAUAAUCCAUAUACCUACUUAGACUAUAAUUUACACCUUUAGGAAACCAGUUGAAUGGAUCAAAACUACAUAGAUAUAUUUACAAUCUCUGUACAGCAAUGCGUGAUAGUCAGCCGCUCCACCAAAGUCACGAAACAUCCCUUUCCGAUAAAAGCAAAUCCUACUUCUCUGCCGCAGAUGUCAACGCCUAUUUAUCUGCCACAUGUUUAUACUUCAGUAAAAUAACUACGCAAAACAUGCCAUAAAUUAGCAAAUCUGAACCAUCAAGGGAUUUUUUCUCUUUUUCCUUGUGAAGACAAGAACAAAGUAACACAGGAAAAAAUAAUGACCGGAUUGAUCAGGUGCCUGCAAGUUGCAGUAACGUAGACAGUCAAAACAAGGGAAGAAUCAGAGGGAGGCACUAAGAAGCUUUUCGCCAGCAACAUUUUGUAACAUUUUUUAGCAGAAAAUCUCAAUGCAGAAGCAGCAGUAGGGACUGCAACAUGAAUGUUGGGAAUGGGAUGGCAAUGAGACAGGUCCAUCUCACCCACGCAUGAAUGAAAGUGGAGAGAGUACUUAGCAGGUCAAUAUUGUUUUUGUUUCUUUUUAUUUAGCAGCAUAUCUAUCACCAAGUUCAGCUCAACUUAACAAAACUAUUCUAGACGUCUUCUAUUAGUAAUUUUCCGUGUUAAACUUUUCUGAUUCUUAACAAACUAUUAUGCUUUGAUUAAGGUUUCGAAAACUAAAUUAAAUCUAGUGAAACAUCAGAUUAGAUUGUAAUAUUGCAAACUCAUCUUGAAGUGCAUAACAUAUCAGCUAAGGUUACCC
This 911-nucleotide long non-coding RNA is filed under the name Nicotiana tabacum (common tobacco). Its description in RNAcentral is "long non-coding RNA (NTAB_LNC009116)". Lineage: Eukaryota; Viridiplantae; Streptophyta; Magnoliopsida; Solanales; Solanaceae. The record is from RNAcentral.